GACAGAGGGUGCAAACGUUGCUCGGAAUUACUGGGCGUAAAGCGCGUGUAGGCGGGUUUGAAAGUCAGAUGUGAAAGCCCUGGGCUCAACCCAGGAACUGCAUUUGAAACUUCAAGUCUUGAGUGUCGGAGAGGAAAGCGGAAUUCCUGGUGUAGAGGUGAAAUUCGUAGAUAUCAGGAGGAACACCGGUGGCGAAGGCGGCUUUCUGGACGAUAACUGACGCUGAGACGCGAAAGCGUGGGGAGCAAACAGG
This 253-nucleotide ribosomal RNA is filed under the name uncultured bacterium. Its description in RNAcentral is "partial 16S ribosomal RNA". It matches the Rfam family "Bacterial small subunit ribosomal RNA", at positions 524 to 776 of the family's 1533-position model. The record is from RNAcentral.